Molecule: long non-coding RNA, 331 nt
Filed under: Medicago truncatula (barrel medic)
Lineage: Eukaryota; Viridiplantae; Streptophyta; Magnoliopsida; Fabales; Fabaceae
Description: long non-coding RNA (MTRU_LNC006283)
Source: RNAcentral
UUCUACUUCAUCUUCUUUUCAUCUCAGUUUGGAUUGGUUUUCAGUAAAAAAAAAAGUCUGAAUUCAUGAAAUCUUCAUCAGUUUGGUAUAGAUCGGUUUUUACUAUUUUAUACUCAAUCAUCCAUGCAAUCCUUGAAGCUCUUCACUCAAACUCUUCGAUGCUCCUUCCAACAAUUGGACCCCCUUGAACACAAGAACUUUUGAAAGAACCCUCAAUACCGUUCGAGGUGGAAUGAAAUUACUCGAUUCACUUUAAAUCCUUGAUUCCCAAUCAAUAUCCUUGAAAGAAAUCAAAUUACAAUCCAUAUAGCACCUGUUAUCACGAUUUUCG